AGUUAGCAUUGGUCGUCUCUAUG
RNAcentral lists this microRNA (23 nucleotides) under Tribolium castaneum (red flour beetle). RNAcentral's name for it is "tca-miR-11618a-4-5p". The record is from miRBase by way of RNAcentral. Lineage: Eukaryota; Metazoa; Arthropoda; Insecta; Coleoptera; Tenebrionidae.